This 463-nucleotide ribosomal RNA is filed under the name uncultured bacterium. RNAcentral describes it as "partial 16S ribosomal RNA". It matches the Rfam family "Bacterial small subunit ribosomal RNA", at positions 28 to 507 of the family's 1533-position model. The record is from RNAcentral.
GAUGAACGCUGACAGAAUGCUUAACACAUGCAAGUCGAUGGGGAAGUCGUGCUUGCACCAUGGCAACCAUGGCGGACGGGUGAGUAACGCGUAAGGGACUUACCUGCAGGACUGGGAUAACAGGGGGAAACUCCUGACAAGACCGGAUAAUGUCAUGGAGCUGCAUGGCUUUAUGAUGAAAGGAUACGCCUGCGGAGAGCCUUUCGUCCUAUUAGCUAGUUGGUGAGGUAAUGGCUCACCAAGGCGAAGAUAGGUAGCCGGCCUGAGAGGGUGGACGGCCACAAGGGGACUGAGAUACGGCACUUACUCCUACGGGACGCAGCAGUGGAGAAUAUUGGACAAUGGGGGCAACCCUGAUCCAGCAAUUCUGUGUGCACGAAGAAGGUUUUCGGAUUGUAAAGUGCUUUCAGCAGACAAGAAGUAAGUGACGGUACCUGCAGAAGAAGCGACGGCUAAAUACGUG